Molecule: ribosomal RNA, 411 nt
Filed under: Comamonas aquatica
Lineage: Bacteria; Pseudomonadati; Pseudomonadota; Betaproteobacteria; Burkholderiales; Comamonadaceae
Description: bacterial SSU rRNA
Rfam family: Bacterial small subunit ribosomal RNA
Source: RNAcentral
GGAUGAUGUGGUUUAAUUCGAUGCAACGCGAAAAACCUUACCCACCUUUGACAUGUACGGAAUCCUUUAGAGAUAGAGGAGUGCUCGAAAGAGAGCCGUAACACAGGUGCUGCAUGGCUGUCGUCAGCUCGUGUCGUGAGAUGUUGGGUUAAGUCCCGCAACGAGCGCAACCCUUGCCAUUAGUUGCUACGAAAGGGCACUCUAAUGGGACUGCCGGUGACAAACCGGAGGAAGGUGGGGAUGACGUCAAGUCCUCAUGGCCCUUAUAGGUGGGGCUACACACGUCAUACAAUGGCUGGUACAAAGGGUUGCCAACCCGCGAGGGGGAGCUAAUCCCAUAAAGCCAGUCGUAGUCCGGAUCGCAGUCUGCAACUCGACUGCGUGAAGUCGGAAUCGCUAGUAAUCGUGGAU